CAAGUUCUGGGGCCACCGUGAGGGAUAACCUCCUACUCCAGGGUGGCGCACAUCCACUGGGGGCCAAAUCCAUGACAGCUCUCACCGCCCACGAAGAAGUUUCUGCACCUUGAGUGGAAACUUCCCCACUGAAGGUCAGCUCGAGGUUCAGACCUGUGGGUCUGUGGUCCAGCUGUUAUGCCCUGAGCAGUCCAGAGUCAAGUGGUCUUGAAGACAAAAGAGAAG
Molecule: long non-coding RNA, 225 nt
Filed under: Ictidomys tridecemlineatus (thirteen-lined ground squirrel)
Lineage: Eukaryota; Metazoa; Chordata; Mammalia; Rodentia; Sciuridae
Description: lncRNA (ENSSTOG00000033249.1)
Source: RNAcentral